This 1718-nucleotide long non-coding RNA is filed under the name Homo sapiens (human). RNAcentral describes it as "HSALNT0231268". The record is from RNAcentral. Lineage: Eukaryota; Metazoa; Chordata; Mammalia; Primates; Hominidae.
GGCAACCCGCUUGGGUCCCCUUCCAGGAUGUGGAAGCUCUCUUCUUUUGUGCUCUUUGUCAUAAAUCUUGCUGCUGCUCACUCUUUGGGUCCGCACAGCCUGUAUGAGCUGUGAUAAUCACCGCGAAGGUCUGCGGCUUAACUCCUGAAGUCAGUGAGCCCACGAACCCACCAGAAGGAAGAAACUCUGGACACAUCUGAACAUCUGAAAGAACAAACUCAGGACACACCAUCUUUAAGAACUGGGAAAACAGAUCCCAGAGGUUGUUGUGGAAGGACCAAGGAAACUAUGAAAUUGACUUAUGGCUGCCACAGUGACAGAAGCACACGGGGCUGCCUUUUAGUGACACCUGCUGGGACAGACCUGGAAGAAGGGAUUGCUGAUUUGCAUGUUUCCUGGCUGCCUCUGCUAGCCCCUGAGUCAGCAGCCCACUCCAAUUCAUGCUGAGCUUGGACAGCUGAGGUUUGAAAAAUUCCCCCUUCCCUUGGAGCAACCGUUUUCCAGCCUCCUCAUCAUUCCUGAAGGAGAGUGACCUACAUGACAGAUACCCAGAAAUUUAUAGAAGCUUCAUAGUGAGGCUAAAUCCUAAACAGGGGCUCAAACUGCCAACACCGAAUGAAGAGAGAGGUUUUGCAGUAAAGCAGGAAGUCAUUAAAAUAAUGAAUCACCCGGCUGGGUUUUGAGCUCCUUUCCCACUAAUUUAUUGGAAAGAUUUAUUGUCUUUACAAUGUACAAUGCCCAUCAUCAGUUGAAAAUAGAAGCUGAAAAUGCAUUUAAGGCUGGGUGCAGUGGCUCACACCUGUAAUCCCAACUCUUUGGGAGGUUGAAGCGGGUGGUUCACCUGAGGUCGGGAGUUCGAGACCAGCCUGGCCAACAUGAUGAAACCCCAUCUCUACUAAAAAUACAAAAAUUAGCCGGGCAUGGUGGUGCACACCUGUAAUCCCAGCUACUGGGGAGGCUGAAAUAAGUUCAUAAAUUCAGCAGCUGUGAGGUAAUUGGCCCAAUUGCUAUGCUACUUUCACCCCUUGAGGAUGAACAGUGCACAGGAGAGUGCAGGUUUACAGGUCUCUGAAUAGUGCCAUCCAAAAAUGGUGAACAACCACCCUGAAAAACAGCUUGGUGUUUUGUUUUGUUUUAUUUUGUUUUCACAAAUUAGAAACGUGCUUAACUAUGUACCCACUAACUGCACUCCUGGCCACUUGCCCUAGAGAAAUAAAAGUUGAUAUUCAUGCAAAAACUUGUGCAUGAGUUUUCACAGAAGCUUUAUUUUUAACAACCAAACUAUAAACCCAAAUGUCCUUCAACAGGUGGAUGGCUAAGCAAACCGUGGUACAGCCAUACAAUGGAAUAGUACUUAGUAAUAAGGAAUGAACUAUUGAAUGAUUUGCAAUGACCUCAAAGGAAUUAAACUUUAAAAAUUUAAUCUCAGGCCGGGUGCGGUGGCUCACACCUGAAAUCCCAGUACUUUGGGAGGCUGAGGUGGGCGGAUCACGAGGUCUGGAGUUCGAGAUCAUCCUGGCCAACAUGGCAAAACCUCGCCUCUACUAAAAAUACAAAAAUUAGCCGGGUGUGGUGGCACCCGCCUGUAGUUCCAGUACUUGGGAGGCUGAGGCAGGAGAAUUGCUUGAACCUGGGAGGCGGAGGUUGCAGUGAGCCAAGAUCGUGCCACUGCACUCCAGCCUGGGCGAUAGAGCCGAGACUCUGUCUCAAAAAAAGGA